This 134-nucleotide ribosomal RNA is filed under the name uncultured bacterium. RNAcentral describes it as "partial 16S rRNA". It matches the Rfam family "Bacterial small subunit ribosomal RNA", at positions 383 to 534 of the family's 1533-position model. The record is from RNAcentral.
CUGAUCAGCGAUGCCGCGUGAGUGAAGACGGCCUUUGGGUUGUAAAGCUCUUUCGUCGGGGAAGAAUAUGACUGUACCCGAAUAAGANCGGUCCGGCUANACUUCCGUNGCCAGCAGCCGCGGNUAUACUUCCC